AAAAAUACUUAAAAGUUGAUCUACAAGGACCAUCCUUUGAAUACUAAACUGUGGACAAUCAAAAAAUAUAUGUUCAAGGGUUUCAUCAGCACUAUUGCAAUAUCUACAAGUUGAAGAGUCAAAAACACCAAUCCUAAAAAGAAAAACCUUGCAACAGAUAAGAAUUAAUAUUGGCAGUCCUGUUAUUAGUGUGCCUCAGUUUAACAAGAAGUGGAUGAUUACUAAUGGAGAGCAACCUUGCAAAAAAUUUUGAUUGUACCUGUAGUGAUAAUAAAAUUGAGGAUAGUUUUUCCAGAUUUACAUUAUUGAAUGCCCCUACAAUGUCUAAAAAAACUCCAACUAAUACUUUAUUCUCGGAACGAGCAUCAUGGAUAUCCAGACAGAGAUGACGUAAACUCUCACAAGCAGAACGACCACAACGAAAGCCGAACUGAUUGUAAGGAACUAAGCGUAAUGGGACGAUAAGAAUCAGCCAAAUUUGAGUCUUUGCCAGGUUUUAAUAUUGGUACCAGACAAUCAGUUUUCCAAUCCUCUGGGAUAAUAGAAGACGACCAUAGACUAUUUAACAAACUUAGGAAAAUAGAUAGAUUUUGAACAUUUAAAAGUUUAAACAUUCUAUAGGAAAGCCAAUCCAGGCCACAUGAGGAAUCUUUUCUAGAAGCUAAUGCAGACUUUAACUCUUGUAAAGUAAAACGACCAAUCAUGUAUGAAUUAUCACUAUUUACUCCAAGAACAUUAUCUAUACUUAUCUGUUGUGAAACAGUAUCAGCCCAAAUGCGACUUAUUGAUGUCAAACGAUUUAUUGAGGAGCAAAAUUCAGACCAACUUUUGCGACGUUCUUCUUUUAGAGUACGUUUUUUGAAGGCUUGUGCACGUUUGAAAAUAAUGUAAUUUUGACUAUUAAGACUAGCUUUGAAAUUAAUGUACGCGUUCUUGCAGUCUUCUACUACUUUUGAACAUUUGGCAUUCCACCAAGGUUGCUGUGAAAAGGAAUGUUGUUCAAGGAAAUAGAGGGUUCAUGUUCGUCUCUUACGAGAGUAAAUCUUGUGAUAGUGGGCAGAUGAUAACUGCCUAAAGAUUCCUGAUGAACUUGCCAUUCACAAGAAAGAAACAAAGAAGAAGAUACCAUAGUUAAAUCUAGACUGUUCGGUUUCCAAAUAUGAGAGCCUAUAGUUGUUGGUUGACCAUUAUUUAAAAGUAUUAAGUCAUUGUCAUCCAUGGAAUCCAUAAUAGCUCUGCCCCGAGAAUCUAUACGACUACAACCCCAGAAAGUGUGAUGGGCAUUAAAAUCGCCUGCAAUUAUUAACGGUUUCGGAAUAGUAUACAAUAAACGAUCUAACUUCGCCUUUUCAAAACCAGGAAAACUAUUACCAGGACUAUAAAAACUAACCAAAGAAAUGGAUUUACGUUUUAGUUUAAUAACAAUUACUACAUUUUGUAACGAAUCAUCGUAAAAAGUAUCGAGCUUAGAGAAAUUUAUACCAUUUUUAAUUAAUAUUGCUACGCCGUUAUGGUCAUUACCGCAGUCAUUCCUAAUAAUGGUAUAACCACGUAUAUUAAAUUGAAUGCUUGGCUUGAGCCAAGUUUCUGAAAUAAGAGCAACAUGUAUAUUAUUUUGGUAUAAAAAAUUUUGGAACUCAAGUCUGUUACUUAACAGACUUUGAGCGUUCCACUGUACAAUAUUUAAGAUUCGAUGGUUGAAUGUGACGAUUUGCUAUUUUUAUUCUGAAUGGUUUCUUUAAUAGCUGAGCUAAUAAAUUGUGAACUUAUACUAA
Long non-coding RNA from Danaus plexippus (monarch butterfly), 1775 nucleotides. RefSeq lists it as uncharacterized. The record is from RefSeq and is a predicted model, not a curated record. NCBI's taxonomy places the organism in Eukaryota, Metazoa, Arthropoda, Insecta, Lepidoptera, Nymphalidae. The transcript has 6 exons.